RNAcentral lists this ribosomal RNA (301 nucleotides) under uncultured bacterium. RNAcentral's name for it is "partial 16S ribosomal RNA". It matches the Rfam family "Bacterial small subunit ribosomal RNA", at positions 509 to 807 of the family's 1533-position model. The record is from RNAcentral.
CAGUAGCCGCGGUAAUACGAAGGGGGCUAGCGUUGUUCGGAAUUACUGGGCGUAAAGGGCGCGUAGGCGGCCAUUCAAGUUAGAUGUGAAAGCCCUGGGCUCAACCUAGGAAUUGCAUUUGAUACUGAUUGGCUAGAGUUCGGGAGAGGUGAGUGGAAUUCCCAGUGUAGAGGUGAAAUUCGUAGAUAUUGGGAAAAACACCAGUGGCGAAGGCGGCUCACUGGACCGACACUGACGCUGAGGCGCGAAAGCGUGGGGAGCAAACAGGAUUAGAUACCCCCGUAGUCCCUGUCUCUUAUAC